Molecule: ribosomal RNA, 907 nt
Filed under: uncultured Comamonadaceae bacterium
Lineage: Bacteria; Pseudomonadati; Pseudomonadota; Betaproteobacteria; Burkholderiales; Comamonadaceae
Description: bacterial SSU rRNA
Rfam family: Bacterial small subunit ribosomal RNA
Source: RNAcentral
GUCAUGAUCCUGGCGUCUUGUACACACCGUGGGUCUUGGACAGACCGCCGGAGAGUUUGAUGAGUAAUACAUCGGAACGUGCCCAAUCGUGGGGGAUAACGUAGCGAAAGUUACGCUAAUACCGCAUACGAUCUACGGAUGAAAGCGGGGGAUCGCAAGACCUCGCGCGAAUGGAGCGGCCGAUGUCAGAUUAGGUAGUUGGUGGGGUAAAGGCUCACCAAGCCGACGAUCUGUAGCUGGUCUGAGAGGACGACCAGCCACACUGGGACUGAGACACGGCCCAGACUCCUACGGGAGGCAGCAGUGGGGAAUUUUGGACAAUGGGCGCAAGCCUGAUCCAGCCAUUCCGCGUGCAGGAUGAAGGCCUUCGGGUUGUAAACUGCUUUUGUACGGAACGAAACGGUUCUCUCUAAUACAGGGGGCUAAUGACGGUACCGUAAGAAUAAGCACCGGCUAACUACGUGCCAGCAGCCGCGGUAAUACGUAGGGUGCAAGCGUUAAUCGGAAUUACUGGGCGUAAAGCGUGCGCAGGCGGUUUUGUAAGACAGAGGUGAAAUCCCCGGGCUCAACCUGGGAACUGCCUUUGUGACUGCAAGGCUGGAGUACGGCAGAGGGGGAUGGAAUUCCGCGUGUAGCAGUGAAAUGCGUAGAUAUGCGGAGGAACACCGAUGGCGAAGGCAAUCCCCUGGGCCUGUACUGACACUCAUGCACGAAAGCGUGAGGGAGCAGACACGAUUAUAUACCCUGUGUAGUCCACGCCCUAAAACGAUGUCAACUGUAUGUUGCGUCUUUCACUGACUCACUAACGAAGCUCACGCGUGUAGUUUGACCGUCUGUGGAGUACGGRCCGAAAAGGUAUGACAACUCAAAAGGAAUUUGAACGGGGGASCCCCGGCGACCAAGCCAG